AGGACUAUAUUUAAUUAUAAUAUUUGAUUUGCAAUCAAAAAGUACCUAAUAAAGGUUAGUCUUA
RNAcentral lists this transfer RNA (64 nucleotides) under Mileewa albovittata. Its description in RNAcentral is "tRNA-Ala". Lineage: Eukaryota; Metazoa; Arthropoda; Insecta; Hemiptera; Cicadellidae. The record is from RNAcentral.